RNA transcript from Zingiber officinale, 4956 nucleotides. RefSeq lists it as uncharacterized. Lineage: Eukaryota; Viridiplantae; Streptophyta; Magnoliopsida; Zingiberales; Zingiberaceae. The record is from RefSeq and is a predicted model, not a curated record. The transcript is spliced from 11 exons.
UGAAGUUUGAAUCCACUUCAGCGUCCUGGUGUUCUUCGUUUCUCGAUUCCCUAAUUCGUGCGUCGUUGCUUUCUUUGCGAUGGAUUCAUUCCAAGGUCGUCGCUUCGCCGACGGCGACGGUAGCGGUGGCGGCGGAGAUAUCCAACAGCCGCAGCAGAACCCAUUCGCUAGUCCUUAUCAUCAUCAGCCCCAAUCCCAUCUCUCUACCACCUCUAAUUACCCCUACAACCCUCCGCCUCCUCACCAGAGCCAUUAUCCGUCUCCUCCUCCUCCUCCGCAUCUUAUUUCGUCUCAGCAUCAGCCGCCGCCUCCGCCGCAGUGGGUUCAUACAGAUGACCACUUUCAGCAGCAGCAACACCACCAUCAUCACCCUGCUCCUGCACCGCCCUACCCGCCGCCUUAUGCAGCUCGUCCUGUGCAACACCAGCAGUACCCUCCUCACCACCCACUGCAGUUGCCGCCGCCUCCGCCGCACUAUUCAGCUUUCCCUCCGCCACCGCAUCAGGGAUGGGGAGGUCAAUCGUGGCAACAGAAUCAGGCAUGGAAAUACCAAGAAAGAAGCCUAUCAUAUAAUGCUGUCGAUGAGUGGGCUGCCCGAGCAAAAGAAUGGGCAACUGCUAACCAUCAGAGUAAUUCACAGGUUGUGUCUGAUGGAAGAAACGAAGUCCAUAGUCACACAUAUCAUGAUCAAUAUCAAGCCACAGUUGGUCCUCCUAAAGAUGCUCAACAAUCUUUGCUUUCUCAGUCCACUAACCAACAGCUACCCCAUUAUACAAUGGAUCAACAGAAACAAGUCAAUCAUGUGUAUCCCUCUACUUCAUUGGUCUCUGGGUCAACUUAUGUAGGAGACAUGCAUAUCCAUUCUGCUACUGGAGAAGAAGCUGUUGCACAACCGAAGGCUCUUACUUCACCUGGAAAUUUGUUUGGGUCUACAUCAUCCAUUUAUGAGCAGGAGGUACCUUAUAGUUAUUCUUAUGUCCCAGGUAACAGAGACUCUGUCAGUCAGUUUCAUCUGCCUGUAUUAUCCACUCGAGAAGGUUUUGUUCAUCCACCACCAGCAUUAACUGAUCCAAAUGUAGCAGUUGAUCAGCAUGAUCUGGACCAGGGCAGACAACCAACCAACUACACAACUGAUCCCAGCAAUAUGCCUCUUGAUUUUCAGCCUAGGCCUGUUUCGGACCUUGAAUCACAUCCAAAAAUAAGUUAUGCUCCUAUUCGAUCUGAGUCUUUGGGAAUGAUUGAUCAAGAUGCAAUUUCUAUGCCUGCUCAUGCUUGGGCUCCUCCAGCUGCUCCAGCAGUUCUUCCCCAAGUUUCCAUUUCAGGAUCAGUGACACAGUUGGAUCAUCCUUUUAUCCCACACCCUGCCUUAGGGCCACAACCACCAUCAGUCUAUGGAAGGUCAAUAGGGCCCAACUUUAGGCCUGGUGUCCCACCAAGUCCUCUCUUUGGUUUAGUGACAGGGGCAUCUCUUAAUCAUUCAUCAAUUAUCUCUGCUGAAGCAAGUAGCAAUUUUAAUCUCUCUGAACGCCCAAAGAAAGCUGCAGUACCUAAUUGGCUUCGAGAAGAAAUCAUAAAAAAUAAAUCAACAAUAGCAAGUGCUUAUGCCAGUCAUCAGAAUGGGAUUUCUUACAAUUCCAUGGAACUGGAGGAUGAUGACAAACUGUAUAAGGCGGGUGAUAAAAUUGGUAAUGCGAGUGCCGAUUCAAUCAAAUCUACUGAAGACAAAGAUGAUGAUGAGGAUGGAGCUGAAGCUGCUAGAUCAGCAGCAAUAAACCAGGAGAUAAAGCGUGUGCUAACUGAAGUUUUGUUGAAGGUUACAGAUGAGCUUUUUGAUGAAAUUGCUCUGAAAGUUCUUGAUGAAGAUGAUCUAACUGAUGAAGUAACUGAGAACAAAGAAGUUGGAAAUGAUAGGGUCUCUGUUUCAGGAGUAUCAACAACUAAUGCUUCUGCAAAGGUUUUAGUGACAAUUAAAGAAGCCAAAACUGAAAAUGGUGUUCAUGCAAAUUCUGGCAUGCAGUCUAAUGCGAGUGAUAUUUUGGGUCUUGCUAGUUAUGCUUCUGAUGAAGAUGAUGAUGAUGCUGAUAACCCCAAAUUGUUGUUGGUUAAUGAAAGUGAUAGUAGGUCUCCUGAAAAUGAAUCCAGAAGUGGUGAGAAUGAGAAGAUUUUAAUUAACAAAGGACUUCGAAGAGGUCCAGAUGGUGUUGCUAGUGGAAGAUUAGAAACCAUUGAUUCUUCUAAUUCCAAUUCAAGAAAUCAUGUUCCAACUUCUGUGACCAUUUAUGCCUCACUUUCUGAUGGUAAAUUACCUGAUCAUGCAAAGAAACAAAAAGAUCCCUCUGUCACUAGUUUGCAACAUCUUCCUCACAGGAAUGACAUUCCAUCUAAAAUUACUUCAGACACUCGCAAUGCUUCAGAGUCAAAAGGUAAGACAAUUAGCAAUAAAGUUAUUAAAGAAGAUAAUACACUUGCCUGUAAUGCUGCUGGAGAAUCAGUGAUUGCCGAGGAGCAUGUAAGGGAGUUGAAAAAAUUCAACGGAAGUGAAAGAUACCCAGAAAAGAGAAGCUACAGCAAAGAAUCUGUUAAGGAAUCGACUAUCACAGAUAAGCCAAGCAGUGAUUCCACUGAGACAAUAUAUUAUGAAAACAAAAGAAGAGCAAAAGAAAAUGGCAAUGAGAAGAAUAAUUCAAAUGAUACAACCAAGGAAAGGAGUAACAAACGAGGAGCAAAUUCUAAGGAUUCUAAUGGCAAAGAUCUUGGUAGCAUCAAGGACAAGAUAGGUGCUGUAAAAGAUAAAAAGGAAAGAGACAAAGAGGAUACUGACAGAAAAAAGGUUAAAUCAAAGGAUGAUAGAGAAGGUAAGUCUAGACACGACACAAAGGAUCCAAGGUAUAUCAGUAGAAAAUCACAUAGCCAAAGACGUAGCAAGGAAGGUUCUUUGCACGACCAUGGUACUUCAAGUAAUGAACCCUUUGAGGUGUCAAAAAGGAGGAGGAUGCAUUCUCGUUCACCACCACCAAACAGAUCCAAGACCAGGUAUUGUAGAACAACUUCCAUAAUCUUUUUCCAUUACCAAGAGAUGAGAAUGAACCAUGUAGAAAGGGUUCAACUGUUUCAUUUUCAACCUCUUUUACCUUUUGACAUGGUUUUCAGAUGAACAGGAUAGGACUAUUUUUGAAGCCUUCCCUUGUCUUUAUUAUGCACGUGUUGGAUUUAGUCCAGUUUGUCCUUUUGACCUAUGAAAAGAGGGGAGGGUGCUAAAAAUAUAAAUGUCUGUUGAUCACUUUGAGAUUGAGCUUCAGAGACUAGCCGCAGCUAAUCAACCUUAGCAUGGCAUUGAAUUUUCAGUUGUCCAAUUUGCACAUAUUCAUUCAACUAGUAAGAUUUCACUGAUGCUAAAUGUAGGUCAUUUUAAUUGAUAUUGGCACUUACUGCAUCUUUUUAAUCACUUACUAAUCUAACAUGUGUAAAAAUAAUGGGAUAAGCUAGAGGUUGAGAGACCCUAAUCAAGUUACUGGAAGAUCAACGUUUAAGUUGUCUCAACAAAUUUCUAGGAGGCUCAAAUAUAUUAUUCAUGCCUGCAGAUCUAGGUCUUCUGUUAUUAUCUUUUGAUAAUCUUUAAAAUGUUGUUAUUGAUUGAUGCUUGCACUUUGCUUGUGUUUGUGCUUUAUAUCCUUUUCUGAUAUUGGAAACCAUGCUUAGCUUACAACUUUUAGACCAAAAUGUAGGUUCCAAUAUGAAAUUUUCAAUGUGCAUUAUGCAUGCUAGUUUCAAGCAAAAACUAUUACACAUUUCAAGCCUUUAAGCAAACUCCAUACUAUAAAGUUUUUUAUGGGAAGUUUAUUUUAAUACGGUCAGUUUAGUGCUGUUAAUUAAAUUGAAAAUUUUCUAUGAUUAGGAUGGCUAUAAGGAUUUUUUUUUUGUCAUGGAGCUCUUCAGACAAUAACUCUCCGGAGUUCUGAUUAUUAUUUUGAGAUAAGCUUUAAAUAAAUUGAUUUAACUUUCAUCUUCUGUAGUGGCUAUUCACAAUAUCCUCAUAAUCUCAUGCUUGAUCUUACAUGUUAUCAUUCUCCGAUUGUUGUAGUCUUCGGUUUCCUAAAUCAAAGAUAUCCUCCAUUUGAAGUAAUAAAGGUUGUCCAAAUGUUGGUUCAGUUUCAACUGAACCAAAUUUGUAUUGUUUAUUGAUUUAAUUGCUAAAAAAUAAAAAAAUAUGGUUUGUUUCAAUUUAUUGCGGUAAUAAAAGAAGACUCUGGUUCAGUUUGCAAAAACAUAGGUAAGAUUACGUCCAAACUUUUGUGUUCUCGGAUGCUUCAGGAUGUAGUGGAACAUUGUUGACGAUUCAAACUUCUUUCUAAUCUUUUCGUUUUUGGUUACGUUAUGAAUUCUUUGUAGCUGUCAAAUAUCUACCCAUUUUCAAGUCUCUGUGAUGGUUAUUUUUAUCAGUGCUGAUUUGUCUAAAACUGUCUCUUAGAGAAACUGAUAAAUAGCUUGCAGGUUGGUUUCCGGGAGUAGAGAAUUCAGAAACACAACUUGUGCCUUUUUUAGUUUUUUUACUUACCAAAUUAGUAUUUAUGUUUCAAUUUCUAGACAAGUAUCGCCGUCUCCCAAUAGGAAGCACUCUCAUCACAGGCACUCUCCCUAUUCUUCGGAUAGAAGGAGGUCUAGAUCCGGAACGCCAGUUCAUCGCAGGCGAUAAGCACUAAAUGAGUAGAGAAGUUAUACCUCAUGCGGAGAAGGUCAAAUGUUUGUCUGGGAGGUGAAUACUACUAGCAGAAAAGGCCUUUAUGCUACUACUACUUGUAUGAAUAUACCCCGAUAAGUUUAUUAUCCGAGAAAGUCACUCGGAAAUCAGUUCAUCGCCUUUCGGAUAUGUUUGAUGAUUCAGCUGACAAAUGAGUUUGUAGUGCAAAGUGGAUUUGUGAUAACAAAUUGGGCCAAUAUUUCAAUUUUCUUCACCCA